RNAcentral lists this transfer RNA (49 nucleotides) under Chrysolagria sp. CHR01. Its description in RNAcentral is "partial tRNA-Leu". The record is from RNAcentral. Lineage: Eukaryota; Metazoa; Arthropoda; Insecta; Coleoptera; Tenebrionidae.
AUGGCAGAUUAGUGCAUUGGAUUUAAACCCCAAAAAUAAAUUUAUUUUU